AUUUCUUCGGAACUGAAGAUUUGGUGACUGAGUGGCGGACGGGUGAGUAACGCGUGGGUAACCUGCCCUGUACAGGGGGAUAACAAUCAGAAAUGACUGCUAAUACCGCAUAAGACCAUAGCACCGCAUGGUGCAGGGGUAAAACUCCGGUGGUACAGGAUGGACCCGCGUCUGAUUAGCUGGUUGGUGAGGUAACGGCUCACCAAGGCGACGAUCAGUAGCCGGCUUGAGAGAGUGAACGUCCACAUUGGGACUGAGACACGGCCCAAACUCC
RNAcentral lists this ribosomal RNA (274 nucleotides) under uncultured Lachnospiraceae bacterium. RNAcentral describes it as "partial 16S ribosomal RNA". It matches the Rfam family "Bacterial small subunit ribosomal RNA", at positions 70 to 339 of the family's 1533-position model. The record is from RNAcentral. Lineage: Bacteria; Bacillati; Bacillota; Clostridia; Lachnospirales; Lachnospiraceae.